CGGCGGACGGGUGAGUAAUGCCUAGGAAUCUGCCUGGUAGUGGGGGACAACGUUUCGAAAGGAACGCUAAUACCGCAUACGUCCUACGGGAGAAAGCAGGGGACCUUCGGGCCUUGCGCUAUCAGAUGAGCCUAGGUCGGAUUAGCUAGUUGGUGAGGUAAUGGCUCACCAAGGCGACGAUCCGUAACUGGUCUGAGAGGAUGAUCAGUCACACUGGAACUGAGACACGGUCCAGACUCCUACGGGAGGCAGCAGAU
RNAcentral lists this ribosomal RNA (257 nucleotides) under uncultured Pseudomonas sp. RNAcentral describes it as "partial 16S ribosomal RNA". It matches the Rfam family "Bacterial small subunit ribosomal RNA", at positions 96 to 354 of the family's 1533-position model. The record is from RNAcentral. Lineage: Bacteria; Pseudomonadati; Pseudomonadota; Gammaproteobacteria; Pseudomonadales; Pseudomonadaceae.